This 330-nucleotide ribosomal RNA is filed under the name uncultured eukaryote. Its description in RNAcentral is "partial 18S ribosomal RNA". It matches the Rfam family "Eukaryotic small subunit ribosomal RNA", at positions 1470 to 1796 of the family's 1831-position model. The record is from RNAcentral.
CCCUUAGAUGUCCGGGGCUGCACGCGCGCUACACUGUAGAAAGCAGCGUGCUUUAAAACCUUUCCUGAAAAGGAUGGGUAACCCCAGCAAAAUUCUACGUGCUUGGGAUAGAGAUUUGCAAUUUUCUCUCUUGAACGAGGAAUUCCCAGUAAGUGCGAGUCAUCAGCUCGCGUUGAUUACGUCCCUGCCCUUUGUACACACCGCCCGUCGCUACUACCGAUUGGGAAAAUUUUAGAGAGUCCUGGACUGAUGAUUGCUCGGCUUCACGGCCUUACUUUCGUCGGGAAAGAAUUCGAUAAUAGUUUUCUAGAGGAAGUAAAAGUCGUAACA